This 233-nucleotide long non-coding RNA is filed under the name Elaeis guineensis (African oil palm). RNAcentral describes it as "long non-coding RNA (EGUI_LNC080110)". Lineage: Eukaryota; Viridiplantae; Streptophyta; Magnoliopsida; Arecales; Arecaceae. The record is from RNAcentral.
CGGCUACAAGCAACAAGCAAAGAUCCUCUCUACCAUAUCUCUCAGUAGCGAUAAUCAUCGAUCCAUGCUCAGGUAUCGAGUUCUAAACUUAGAUUAAAAGUAGAUGUGAUCUCUUACUCACAUGCAUGUAUGAUGAUUUUAUCUUCAGUAUUUUUUAGAUUUUAUAUGCAACAUAUCAUGUCAUAGAUCCUAGAGUAGGUUGAUUUGAUGAUUAGAUCAUAUGUAUGUUAGAU